RNAcentral lists this ribosomal RNA (445 nucleotides) under Ophiogastrella maculithorax. Its description in RNAcentral is "partial 28S ribosomal RNA". Lineage: Eukaryota; Metazoa; Arthropoda; Insecta; Hymenoptera; Ichneumonidae. The record is from RNAcentral.
CCUGAGAAACCCAAAAGAUCGAAUGGGGAGAUUCAUCGUCAGCGAUCCUGGCACGUGUGCUGGUUCGUGAUGCCACUGGGACUUCGGUCACGAGGUACACGUCCGUGUGGGUUUUUGCCUGGUGUCGUCGGCGUGCACUUCUCCCCUAGUAGGACGUCGCGACCCGUUGGGUGUCGGUCUACGGGCCGGGUGGACGCCUGUCAUGCGUACGACGCUUCGCGGCGUCAUGUGGCUGACAGACCCCCGGUUGUCUGACCAGCUGCCCGGCGGUACUCGCACGGUAUCGAGCCGCAAUACUUGAACUGCGUCCGGCCCGCCGCAAGCGAGGCCAGUGCUUCCCGGAUGURCGGACCUAGCGCCGUCGUCGGGCCUGGCCAGCUGUUGGUUGGYGGUGUCCUGGGACUGGCUGUGUAUGAAUACCNNNNNNNNNNNNUACUGCUUUGGG